ACAAUAUAUUUUAUUUAGUCCAAUCUAACCAAAAUAUUGUCAUUUCAAUAUGUAGUCGAUCUUGAAAAUGACUACUGAUGUAUCUUGCGUUCUUUUUUUCAGGCUAAUUCUUUGAACUUUGGCGUGUAUUUUACACUUACAGCACAUCUCAAUCAGACCAGCCACAUUGCAAGUGCUCCAUAGGCACAUGUGGCAGGUGGCCACCGAGGUGGACAGCACAGCCCGAACAGAGUCCUUUCUGUUACUCUUCAGAAACAAUAGCUUUCUCCAUUCAGGACCACACUCCUGCAUGCCCUCUCCACCGCAUCAGCACCUGCGCCAUGGUUCACAGGUGGCCUUGGGAUUGUAAGGCAAGCGCUGUGCUUCUGUUCGCUUGCAGAGAGCCCUGAACUCAUGCUUCUGUCUGGGCAGCGGCCCUUGACAGCUGGGGCUCGCUCUUUCCUUCCCAGGGCGCCAUGGUUGGAUGCUGUAUCUUGCUAAAGUCAAACUUUCUACUUCGAAAAACUUUACAAAACUUCACAAAGGCAGAUUUUCUCUUACUUUUUAAAAACAGGCCCAGAGAGAAGACAGAAACCUACAGGCUGCCCGCAAUGGCCCAGGAGGCGGGGUUUCCACCAGGAAGCAGCGCCUUUAUGAAUUAAGCACGUGACGCAUCUCAGCGUGGCCACGUCUGUAAGGUGAUAUGGAAGUUGUUUCUAAAUAUUGAAAACGGCAGCGCCAUUACCAUUCUGGGAUUCCCUGUGUUAGGCCUCACCCACCGACUGCUUGGCUGUCUAUCCAGAGGAAUUAAAACACCCAGCGCCCCAGGGAAUGUCAUAAAAUUUCACCAUAUUCAGUGACACCCUCUUCAACGAAUUGCAGAGAACCAAGUCUUGUGUGCACCUGGCUGUGAAUCACCGACUGGGUGACCUCCAUUUGGAAGCUGCUCUCCUGUUGGGAUGAAUUUAUCCUUCAUGAGAUGGAAGUACCUCCCUUUUCCUAGGGCUGCACGCCUAAUUCCACAUCACUCUGACAUUACUUCAGUUGUUUACACGGCAAUCUUGUGUGAUCCAAGCCGCUCUACUACUGCUGUCAUUUUAAGACCGUUUGAAACAUCUUAAUAGUCCCAUUUUUUUUCCUUUUCCUCUUGCCCAUUUCCAAAUGGAAGGAAUUCUUAUGAGAACCUUCACGACGAAGGAAGAAAGCUACAAGGAAUGAACCCUCUUGUGGAGGCGAGAAAACCUUUCUCUGCGGUGUUGCUGGAUUUGCUCCUGGAAUCAGCGGCCUCUGUAGCUUUCUGCAGUGUUUGGUGUGAGGCAGGCAGUUUUGAACUGUGCCCUCUUAACAACGGCAGAUGUGCCCCAGGGCCAGCGAUGCUACAGCCUUCAAAAGAGAUUUCCCCAGAGCAGAACUGCAGUGACCAACCCAGGGCAGACCCUGUGUUUGGAGCCUGUCUCCACCGCUGCCCGCCCCCAGCAGCAGCCAUCUCGGGGUCUGCAGCAUUCGCUCUGCAACCACCUUGGAUGUGGCCACUUCUCUGCCCCUCCCUUUGCCCACUCUGCUUCUGACCAUCCUGCAGCUGAUUUAGGUGACUUGUCCAGAUCCUCUGCUCUGCCCCCAGGGCCACUAUGUGGAAUAGGGGCAGUCGUAGAGAAAAGGACUGUCUCCCUUUACCCCAGAGUGAGAAGCCAACACCUUGGUGUGUCCUCUGCCCUCAGGUUCUAUGGGCUGGCUCAGUGACGGCAACUGUCUAUGCUAUUCUCUGGUCACUGCUGUCAGACCUAAGUCCCCACGGUGAAGGGGACAUUUACAGGGCCUGCUCACAUUCAUGAUCUCUUUUGAAGGUACUGACUGUUUUGUGUGCCAAAUGCUUUGUCUCAGCAGAGAGAGCUUGGAGAAGAGUUGAGUCAUGUGAAAACUGUGGUGGCAGCAACCUAAUUUCCAGUCCUGGGGCUCAGGGGAAACUAGCCAGGCUUUAUAGGGCUUGCCUUACAAGCUCAAACCUACUGGUUGUGAACAAAUGCCACAGUAAACUUAACUGCCGAAAA
RNAcentral lists this long non-coding RNA (2027 nucleotides) under Equus caballus (horse). Its description in RNAcentral is "lncRNA (ENSECAG00000037507.3)". The record is from RNAcentral. Lineage: Eukaryota; Metazoa; Chordata; Mammalia; Perissodactyla; Equidae.